RNAcentral lists this long non-coding RNA (551 nucleotides) under Homo sapiens (human). RNAcentral describes it as "novel transcript". The record is from RNAcentral. Lineage: Eukaryota; Metazoa; Chordata; Mammalia; Primates; Hominidae.
ACUAAGAGGAACUGGACACCAGGAGCCUCAUACCAGGACUGCCCAGCCGAGCCACUCGAUUCCUGACCCACAUGGCCCUUGAGAUGACAAGUGAUUGCUGCUUAAAGUCACUGAGUUCUGGAAUAAUUUACAUCAUGGCAAUAGGAGCAGUUCACCCAUCUCAGUUAAUCAAGCUCCGCGUCUUCUGCAGACUAAUCAAACCACUCAUGGAACCAAAGAAUGAGGAAAAGGCAGAUGGUAUCCCAGAAAGGUGUCUUCUCCAACAGCCAGAUACUUUUCAUCAGAACAGAGGCUGGUGUGCCGCUGGCUCUGGGCUCCUCCACACCCACAGGGCAGCACCACUGUCUCCAGUGCACACUGCACAGAAGCAGCUCUGGGUGCUUUGGUCAAUAACCCAUCUUCGUGGCUCGUGGAUAUUUCUUGUUAGUCUUAGGCUUCCAUCGUGACCUUUCUGAGUGCCCCUCAAUCUCAUUAACUCCCCUUUCAAGGCUCUGUCCCCAGAAAACAAGCUUCAGGUUGUGACCCUGUUUCCUCACAUUCAUUUCUGAUAC